CCUACGGGAGGCAGCAGUGAGGAAUAUUGGUCAAUGGACGGAAGUCUGAACCAGCCACGCCGCGUGCAGGAAGACGGCUCUAUAAGUUGUAAACUGCUUUUGUACAAGGGUAAACCUGAAUACGUGUAUUCAGCUGAAAGUACUGUACGAAUAAGGAUCGGCUAACUCCGUGCCAGCAGCCGCGGUAAUACGGAGGAUCAAAGCGUUAUCCGGAUUUAUUGGGUUUAAAGGGUGCGUAGGCGGAUUGAUAAGUUAGAGGUGAAAUGUCCGGGCUUAACUCGGGAACUGCCUCUAAUACUGUUGGUCUAGAGCGUAGAUGCGGUAGGCGGAAUGUAUGGUGUAGCGGUGAAAUGCUUAGAGAUCAUACAGAACACCGAUUGCGAAGGCAGCUUACCAAUCUAUAUCUGACGUUGAGGCACGAAAGCGUGGGGAGCAAACAGGAUUAGAUACCCCAGUAGUC
RNAcentral lists this ribosomal RNA (460 nucleotides) under uncultured bacterium. RNAcentral's name for it is "partial 16S ribosomal RNA". It matches the Rfam family "Bacterial small subunit ribosomal RNA", at positions 338 to 795 of the family's 1533-position model. The record is from RNAcentral.